RNAcentral lists this transfer RNA (83 nucleotides) under Planctomycetales bacterium. Its description in RNAcentral is "tRNA-Leu". It matches the Rfam family "tRNA". Rfam says of the family: Transfer RNA (tRNA) molecules are approximately 80 nucleotides in length. Their secondary structure includes four short double-helical elements and three loops (D, anti-codon, and T loops). The record is from RNAcentral. Lineage: Bacteria; Pseudomonadati; Planctomycetota; Planctomycetia; Planctomycetales.
GGCUGAGUGAUGGAAUGGCAGACAUGCGGCUCUCAAAAGGCCGUGUCCUAACGGGCGUGUGGGUUCGAGUCCCACCUCAGCCA